This 494-nucleotide ribosomal RNA is filed under the name uncultured bacterium. RNAcentral describes it as "partial 16S ribosomal RNA". It matches the Rfam family "Bacterial small subunit ribosomal RNA", at positions 29 to 523 of the family's 1533-position model. The record is from RNAcentral.
AUUGAACGCUGGCGGUAUGCCUUACACAUGCAAGUCGAACGGUAGAGGGGCAACCCUUGAGAGUGGCGAACGGGUGAGUAAUACAUCGGAACGUGCCCAGUCGUGGGGGAUAACGUAGCGAAAGCUACGCUAAUACCGCAUACGACCUGAGGGUGAAAGCGGGGGAUCGCAAGACCUCGCGCGAUUGGAGCGGCCGAUGGCAGAUUAGGUAGUUGGUGGGGUAAAGGCCUACCAAGCCUGCGAUCUGUAGCUGGUCUGAGAGGACGACCAGCCACACUGGGACUGAGACACGGCCCAGACUCCUACGGGAGGCAGCAGUGGGGAAUUUUGGACAAUGGGCGAAAGCCUGAUCCAGCCAUACCGCGUGCGGGAAGAAGGCCUUCGGGUUGUAAACCGCUCUUGUCAGGGAAGAAAUCUUCUGGGUUAAUACCUCGGGAGGAUGACGGUACCUGAAGAAUAAGCACCGGCUAACUACGUGCCAGCCGCCGCAGUAA